UGGCCGGAGAGGCAGCAGCACCCCGAGCUGUCAGGCGUUCCGCCGCGGCCGCGAGGCCCGCCGGCCGGCGGGGAGCUACGCCCGGACGGCCAGCAGGCCCGCGGGAGUGGGGCUGCCGCGGCUGAGGCGAGGCGGGCCGCGCUCGGACCCGGUGACUUAAGAGAUUAAAAUUAAUUUGGUUGCUGUUGGUUCUGAACAAAUAAUGAGUUCUUUUAUUUGAGGUAUGCCAUUUUGAAGACUGAGACGUUGGAGUUUUAUCCUAGAGGAUAAAGGAAAUCUUUGGGAAAGUCAGUAUUUUAUAUAGCAAAAAUAUGAACCUCAAACUGAAUCCUCUAAAGGCCCCAUACAAUGAAGUAGACAUUGGUGGAAACAUUUACACCCAGUCAGCUUGAAGAGUUUCAAAUGGACCCUACCACUGAGAAAUCAAGAUGGCAGUCUACUAUGGGGAAUUGAGGAAAAAUGGAUUAAUACAAGAGUCCUGUGAUAAUAUACAACCAAGACAGGGUUCUUUUAACAUGGAUUCCAUGCAGUGAAUGAAGACAUAGGUUUCUUACCCAACACAAAUGGACAGUGGAUUUGACUUUCUAAAGACUUUUUUUGUGGACAUUUUGACAUUUGGAGAAGAAAGAUGGCACACUAACCCAGAUAAUAGUUUUUAUGCCUGGAAUUUUUUGCAGUUUGAUUUGUAUGCGUAUGACCUCUUGAAAUGUUAAUUUUUAAUAAAA
RNAcentral lists this long non-coding RNA (725 nucleotides) under Homo sapiens (human). Its description in RNAcentral is "HSALNT0383152". Lineage: Eukaryota; Metazoa; Chordata; Mammalia; Primates; Hominidae. The record is from RNAcentral.